Canis lupus familiaris (dog) is the source of this 429-nucleotide long non-coding RNA. RefSeq lists it as uncharacterized. The transcript is spliced from 4 exons. NCBI's taxonomy places the organism in Eukaryota, Metazoa, Chordata, Mammalia, Carnivora, Canidae. The record is from RefSeq and is a predicted model, not a curated record.
GGGCCUCGAGUGGGGGCCGCAGAGCGGGCGCGGAGGGCGGGUGGGUCCGCAGGGACCUCCGCGUGGGGUUUGGCUGGCAGUGGCCGCAGCCUGGGCCUGGCCGCUGAGCUUCCCUGCAAACAACACUUUCUCAAAGCCCUUGAAAACUGGAACUGACGCUACAUAGAGUCUCUGGAGCUUCGAAGAGACAGCAGGGUACAGCCAGAGAAUGCCCCCGGAAAACAAAGUCAGAUAUGGGGCCAGGAUGGUGCCCGGCACAUAGCAGACUAUGGCCUCUCCGACAAGGAGAUAAAAACAGCCAAGGGGCUGAAGAGUCUGAGGAGCACUGCCCGGAGAUAUUCCCUUAGAGAUGGGGCUCAUCUUCCCAGAGCGGAAAUGCUGUUGUGACACCUGGGUGGCUCAGUGGUUGAGCAUCUGCCUUCAGCUCAG